AACAUGAUCAUGCAAUGAAGAUGCCUAUUUGAUAAUAUCACUCCAUGUUUUAAAAAUCCCUUCGGUGCACCUCAAUAAAGUUGCUUAACAUGGCAUCUAAGAUGGGUCAUCUUGCCGGUGCUUGUGUCUUCGUUACCUUGUGCUGUGCUCACAUUCUCCCUGUCUCAAUGAAUUGCUUAUAGUUCUGGAGUUUGCCCAUAGUUUCACCAUUUUUAUUCAACAGUCUCCUCUGAAUGCCCUCCCAAAUUCUGACACUUGUAUUAUAGUUGAAUAUUUGAUGAGAAUGAAUUUUAGAAGAGUAUGUGUUAGAUACAACAAAAUGGCAAUUCUGACAAUAAGCUUUCCAGAUCUUAUUUAAACCAAUAUUCGU
Molecule: long non-coding RNA, 370 nt
Filed under: Bos taurus (domestic cattle)
Lineage: Eukaryota; Metazoa; Chordata; Mammalia; Artiodactyla; Bovidae
Description: long non-coding RNA NONBTAT018568
Source: RNAcentral